Molecule: ribosomal RNA, 468 nt
Filed under: uncultured bacterium
Lineage: Bacteria
Description: partial 16S ribosomal RNA
Rfam family: Bacterial small subunit ribosomal RNA
Source: RNAcentral
GACGAACGCUGGCGGCGUGCUUAACACAUGCAAGUCGAACGGAAAGGCCCUGCUUUUGUGGGGUGCUCGAGUGGCGAACGGGUGAGUAACACGUGAGUAACCUGCCCUUGACUUUGGGAUAACUUCAGGAAACUGGGGCUAAUACCGGAUAGGAGCUCCUGCUGCAUGGUGGGGGUUGGAAAGUUUAGGCGGUUGGGGAUGGACGGGCGGCUUAUCAGCUUGUUGGUGGGGGAGUGGCUGACCAAGGCUUUGACGGGUAGCCGGCCUGAGAGGGUGACCGGCGACCUUGGGCCUGAGAUACGGCCCAGUCGCCUACGGGAGGCAGCAGUGGGGAAUAUUGCACAGUGGGCGGACGCCUGAUGCAGCAACGCCGCGUGCGGGAUGACGGCCUUCGGGUUGUAAACCGCUUUCGCCUGUGACGAAGCGUGAGUGACGGUAAUGGGUAAAGAAGCACCGGCUAACUACGUG